GGGAUUGCCCCAGUAACGGCGAGUGAAGCGGCAACAGCUCAAAUUUGAAAUCUGGUCCCUAGGGCCCGAGUUGUAAUUUGUAGAGGAUGCUUUUGGCAAGGUGCCUUCCGAGUUCCCUGGAACGGGACGCCAUAGAGGGUGAGAGCCCCGUCUGGUCGGAUACCGCGCCUCUGUAAAGCUCCUUCGACGAGUCGAGUAGUUUGGGAAUGCUGCUCAAAAUGGGAGGUAUAUGUCUUCUAAAGCUAAAUAUUGGCCAGAGACCGAUAGCGCACAAGUAGAGUGAUCGAAAGAUGAAAAGCACUUUGAAAAGAGGGUUAAAAAGUACGUGAAAUUGUUGAAAGGGAAGCGCCUAUGACCAGACUUGGGCCCGGUGAAUCAUCCAGCGUUCUCGCUGGUGCACUUUGCCGGGCACAGGCCAGCAUCAGUUUGGCUUGGGGGAAAAAGGCUUAGGGAAUGUAGCUCCUCGGAGUGUUAUAGACCUUUGCAUAAUACCCUGGGCUGGACUGAGGUUCGCGCAUCUGCAAGGAUGCUGGCGUAAUGGUCAUCAGCGACCCGUCUUGAAACACGGACCAAGGAGUCGUCUUCGUAUGCGAGUGUUCGGGUGUAAAACCCCUACGCGUAAUGAAAGUGAACGCAGGUGAGAGCUUCGGCGCAUCAUCGACCGAUCCUGAUGUUCUCGGAUGGAUUUGAGUAAGAGCAUACGGGGCCGGACCCGAAAGAAGGUGAACUAUGCCUGUAUAGGGUGAAGCCAGAGGAAACUCUGGUGGAGGCUCGCAGCGGUUCUGACGUGCGAAUCGAUCGUCAAAUAUGGGCAUGGGGGCGAAAGACUAAUCGAACCUUCUAGUAGCUGGUU
This 853-nucleotide ribosomal RNA is filed under the name Simplicillium coffeanum. RNAcentral's name for it is "LSU rRNA". It matches the Rfam family "Eukaryotic large subunit ribosomal RNA", at positions 71 to 956 of the family's 3401-position model. The record is from RNAcentral. Lineage: Eukaryota; Fungi; Ascomycota; Sordariomycetes; Hypocreales; Cordycipitaceae.